Humulus lupulus (European hop) is the source of this 619-nucleotide long non-coding RNA. RefSeq lists it as uncharacterized. NCBI's taxonomy places the organism in Eukaryota, Viridiplantae, Streptophyta, Magnoliopsida, Rosales, Cannabaceae. The transcript has 3 exons. The record is from RefSeq and is a predicted model, not a curated record.
GGAAAAGGGUGGCUGGCCAUGUGCUAUUUUAGAGUGGUGUGAACCCAAUUUUAUAAAAUUCAAAUCCCAUUUAAUUAAGAAGUCAAGUGGGCAAGUGGGUAGAAAAUCACUCAAGUGUUUUGUGAUAUUUUGAAGAGUUGUGUGAGCCAUUCUAACCCCCAAAUCCGACCACUCUCCCUCCCUCAUUCACUCUCAUCUGAUUUUUGAAGACUCUCUCAAGUGUUCUCUCCAUUUUGAACCCCAAGAACACCAAAGAAACUUGGAAGCUAAGUCUUGGUCUAGGAAGGGUUUUCCCUAAGUUGGUUAGGGUUUUUGAAAGGUUUUGAAGGAGUCAAAGCUUAUAGGAAGGUCCAAACCUUAAGCAAGAACACCAAAGAGGUAAGAGCAAGGGCAAGGCAGAGCAGUGAGCGCUGGAGUCUUCCUUGCAAAUGUACAUGUGGACCGACCUUUUGGGAAGCCUUUUUAUUUUUGGAAAUGUUGUGUAAUUUUCCUAAACUAGGCUCACUCUAAUCUUUGUAAAACAUGUUUGUAACUAAAUGUUAAGUAUGGCCAUACGACUUUUUAAAAAGUUUUUUUUCUAUGGGCUUUUGAGACAUUUUGUUAAAUGAAAACAUUUAUA